This is a long non-coding RNA of Cyprinus carpio (common carp), 527 nucleotides long. RefSeq lists it as uncharacterized. The record is from RefSeq and is a predicted model, not a curated record. NCBI's taxonomy places the organism in Eukaryota, Metazoa, Chordata, Actinopteri, Cypriniformes, Cyprinidae. The transcript is spliced from 3 exons.
UCAGUCACGCACAGAAGACCAUUAGACUCAAACCCUGUCCUGGUCUGGAUCGGUUCUGCAGGUUUGAUCAGUCUGAUCCCUGUUACACAGCUCUGGGACACAAACUCAAUCUGUCGAUUGUGCUGGAUGCUAGUAAAUAUGACCUGAAGAUAAUAAAGAGAAUAAACAAUGCAGCAGAUGAUCCAGUUUGUAGAGUAAAGAAUGACAGGAUGAGGAUGAGUGAAUGUGAUCUUUAUUAUAACAGACAUGAAGUUAUAGUAAUUAAUGGGACUGUGAUAAUAAACCGUGUGAUCAGAGCAGAUUCAGGGAAUUACACAUUAACUCUCGUUCACUCAGACGGCUCAGAAACAUCUAGAGAUCUUCAAGUGAUUGUUGAAGCUCCCGUUGGCUUAGUGGAAGUGUCAAUCAUCUGCUCCUCCAGUGGGGUGAUGAGGGUGUUCUGCUCCUCUGAGGGGGAUCAGCUCCUCUACAGCUGGACUCUGAAUGGAGAUCCACUGAUGGAUGGAAACAGCAGCAUUGAUCUGGAU